RNAcentral lists this ribosomal RNA (558 nucleotides) under Trichoderma harzianum. RNAcentral's name for it is "eukaryotic LSU rRNA". The stretch from base 180 to 333 matches the Rfam family "5.8S ribosomal RNA". Lineage: Eukaryota; Fungi; Ascomycota; Sordariomycetes; Hypocreales; Hypocreaceae. The record is from RNAcentral.
CCAUGUGAACGUUACCAAACUGUUGCCUCGGCGGGAUCUCUGCCCCGGGUGCGUCGCAGCCCCGGACCAAGGCGCCCGCCGGAGGACCAACCAAAACUCUUAUUGUAUACCCCCUCGCGGGUUUUUUUAUAAUCUGAGCCUUCUCGGCGCCUCUCGUAGGCGUUUCGAAAAUGAAUCAAAACUUUCAACAACGGAUCUCUUGGUUCUGGCAUCGAUGAAGAACGCAGCGAAAUGCGAUAAGUAAUGUGAAUUGCAGAAUUCAGUGAAUCAUCGAAUCUUUGAACGCACAUUGCGCCCGCCAGUAUUCUGGCGGGCAUGCCUGUCCGAGCGUCAUUUCAACCCUCGAACCCCUCCGGGGGGUCGGCGUUGGGGAUCGGCCCUGCCUUGGCGGUGGCCGUCUCCGAAAUACAGUGGCGGUCUCGCCGCAGCCUCUCCUGCGCAGUAGUUUGCACACUCGCAUCGGGAGCGCGGCGCGUCCACAGCCGUUAAACACCCAACUUCUGAAAUGUUGACCUCGGAUCAGGUAGGAAUACCCGCUGAACUUAAGCAUAUCAAUCA